Molecule: ribosomal RNA, 301 nt
Filed under: uncultured bacterium
Lineage: Bacteria
Description: partial 16S ribosomal RNA
Rfam family: Bacterial small subunit ribosomal RNA
Source: RNAcentral
CAGCAGCCGCGGGAAUACGAAGGGUGCAAGCGUUAAUCGGAAUUACUGGGCGUAAAGCGUGCGUAGGCGGUUUGUUAAGUCUGCUGUGAAAUCCCCGGGCUCAACCUGGGAAUUGCAGUGGAUGCUGGGUCACUAGAGUGUGGUAGAGGAUAGCGGAAUUUCCGGUGUAGCAGUGAAAUGCGUAGAGAUCGGAAGGAACAUCUGUGGCGAAGGCGACUAUCUGGGCCAACACUGACACUGAGGCACGAAAGCGUGGGGAGCAAACAGGAUUAGAUACCCCCGUAGUCCCUGUCUCUUAUAC